UGAGUGCUUCUUCUGUCAUAUCCCGUGGU
RNAcentral lists this non-coding RNA (29 nucleotides) under Mus musculus (house mouse). Lineage: Eukaryota; Metazoa; Chordata; Mammalia; Rodentia; Muridae. The record is from RNAcentral.